GCAAGUGGAAACCGGACACAACAGUAGGA
Molecule: non-coding RNA, 29 nt
Filed under: Homo sapiens (human)
Lineage: Eukaryota; Metazoa; Chordata; Mammalia; Primates; Hominidae
Source: RNAcentral